RNAcentral lists this small RNA (577 nucleotides) under Pan troglodytes (chimpanzee). Its description in RNAcentral is "processed transcript". The record is from RNAcentral. Lineage: Eukaryota; Metazoa; Chordata; Mammalia; Primates; Hominidae.
CUUGAGCCCAGGAGUUCAAGGCUGUGGCGAGCUGUGUUUGCACUCCAGCCUAGGUGUCAGAGUGAGACUAUGUCUUAAAAAAAAAAAAAAAGAAGAAAGAAAUGUAUUAUAACAUUAGGAGUUGUAGGCGGCAACAUUACAACCAGUAUUUUUCUGAUUACGAUUUUGUAUGUUACAAAUAUUCUAUAUUGAGCGCAUUAUACCAAUAAUCAGAAAACAUUGCUGAAUCAUUUUGUCUUUAAAGAAUCAUCUAAUAGGGAUGGGAAGGAAUACAAAAGUUGUAUUAAGUAAAUGGGAUGAAGCUCUCAGUUUAGAGAUCAAGAUGAUUGGGGCAUAAGAAGAAGAAAAACAUUCCUGCAGGACUAGUCUGGGCAGAAGAGGAGUUGUGGUAACUAGAUAUGAGGAGAAAGAGAGGAAGGAGGCACAGAGCAGUUGGAGCUUGCUGCCUGGAAGAAUGACGGUAUGAUAAAGAGAUGGGAUGAUGUGAAAUAAUUCACAUUGUUAAUUAUGAAGUGUGUUUUGAAUCACCUCAGUGUUACCCAGAAACGACACUCAGUUAUCAUGUUCAGAUAGGGGA